This 2482-nucleotide long non-coding RNA is filed under the name Homo sapiens (human). Its description in RNAcentral is "HSALNT0315645". Lineage: Eukaryota; Metazoa; Chordata; Mammalia; Primates; Hominidae. The record is from RNAcentral.
GACCUGGGGUCCCUGCUUCUCCAGGUGCUCCCGGAUUUUGCUCUCUAGCCUCCGGUUCUCGGUCUCCAGGCUCCUCACUCUGUCCAGAUGUGGGCCACCAGCCUUAAGCCAGAGGGAGCUUUGUAAGACAGGAACAUAUAAAAUGAUAAAAGCUUCUCUACGUACAGUUUUCCUGACUCUGAUUCUGCGUGGGACAACCAGUGAAAAUUGCAGGUGAAGAGAAGAAAUGCGUAUUUAUUCCUCCACUGGGAAAAAAAAUACCAUCCAAAGCUACAUGACUUGAGAGACAAGGUCUCACUAUGUUGCCCAGGCUGGCCUCGAACUCCCGGGCUUCAGCAGUCCUCCCGCCUCACCCUCCGAUGUAGCUAGGACUACAGGACCGCGACCCGGCGCUGCCUAAGAACUGUUUUUAAACGUGAAAGCCACGGCUAUCAUUUGCUUUUUGCUCUGCUCUUCAUCUUCUGGAUAAACCUCGUAACACACUGCUUGUUUUGGGUGGUAGUCUGCUGCCUACGCCCCGUCAGACAAGUGGCCUGAGUCCCCCGCAACCCCUGCAGGUCCGGCCGCCGGCGCCAAGCCUCAAGGCAUCCAAGCCAGGAACGAUCGCGGUCAGCUCUGCCACGGAACAUGUGCAAGACCCGGCAGCAGGUUCCGGGGGAGGCGAAUUGAUUUCACAACGGUCGAGAAGGAGGACCCCGCCCACUUCGUCAUUUCUCGGAAGCCCAGGGACUCGCCGGAAGAGCGGCUCAAAAGCCGGAAAACUGGCAAAUCCGAGUCUCCCGGCGCAUGCGCGGCGCAAUCGGCUUCGCGUGGUUGCAGUAGAGAGGAUCCCUCCGCCAGCCACUGCAUCCGGCGGCCGGAUCUAACUUACCCGCUAGCGUUUUACCCUUGCGCGGCCGUGGCGUAGGGCGGUCUUUUCCCUUGGUCCUCCGCGGCGCCGCCUCUUGUGACGUAAGCCGCAGAAUCCUCUGUCUUAGUUCGGCUCUAUUGCCGCGAGCUUGACUCUUCCUGGGUCUGAGGAAAAGUAAAAGUAAUUUUGUCAUUUCCUGAAACUUCAAGUUAAACCUUUAAGCUGUUCAUUUCCUAAAAGGGUGAAAACGCGGGCACCCCUCGAGCUAGUUCAUCGCCUUUUAACCUGUUGUUGGAUCUUUCCAGAUCACCACACCACAUCACCCAGCCACUCUGCCCAAUGGGAGGGCAGACAGUGUUCCAGUGUAGGAGGAAGGGGUGUAAGGUGCGGGCAGUUUGUGAGGAGGGCACCAACGAGAGCUACUGUGAGAAAGUCUGCAUGGUCAAAAAGUGGAUUACCAAGAACAAAGCAUCAUAAUGUUGUCCAGUGGACCCCAGGGUCAUCUGGAUGAAAUGAAUACUUUUAGGGCAAAAUGGCUGAUACUGCUUCCUUGAUAACCACAUAUAGAAAACUGACAACUGUUUAGAACAAAGCCAAAGAUGAAACCAAAUAUAAAACCACUGAUGAAAACUAAGUGAAAAAUAUAAGCAAAAUAGAAGAAAAAUAAGGUCGUUAUUUCAAGAAAACGAAAGACAGUCAAUGCUGUUCUUUGUAUUCACAUACAAUUUGGUUCACACCAAAAUGUGAGUUGUUCUCUAUGAGAUGUUAUUAAAUGUUCCUAAGAAGACUCGCUUUAGAAAAAAACAGUAUUCCUAAGGCAUGUCCAAUCUGUCUCUUUUCUUAAUUGCUAUAGUUCUACUUUAUUAUUAUAAUGUAUUCAGCAUUAAAAUUCAUUAUUUCCCAAUAAGCUUGACUUUAUCUUAUAAUGAAAUACAACUGUCUUCUUGGUGAUUUUUAUAGGAGAUAUUAUGGAAAUAUUUUAUUAACAGAAGUAAAUAAAGUGUCAUAUCAUUUGGCUUUUCAGCCGUGUUAUAACAUUUGCAUUUUGUUUUUUCUGCCUUUACCCUCCCUGCUUCUAGCUGCAUAAAAUAAUGCAUUUUAAAAAUAAAAAUACAUUAUUUUUCAACAUAUGUGUGACAAUAAAAAGAUCACUGGGUCAGGGGUCAGACGAUCUGAGUUCUGCCCUUUCAUUUUCUUAUCUGUAAAAAUGAUUCCUAAGAUUCCUUCUAUUACUAACAUUUUAUAAUCUACAUUCAAAUUUUAUGUGAAAGUUUAGUGCAUCCGAGAUAACUAUUUUCAAAUAAGAAUCUCUUUUGAUGCUAACAUCUAUGCAUCAAAUUCUUCAUUCUCAAGUUGUAAGUUGCUCUUUACAUAAUUUCACCUAUGUACAUAUAUUCUAUAGAAAAAAGAGACAUUCCAGUAUCUUAACAAUGUCAAAAAGGAUAUACUGACACUAACAUUAACUGGAGAUUGGAAGACUAGACAAAUCAAGGCUAGAACUACAUAAGGGAAGCUAUUCUCCCAAAUACGCUGUUUUUGCUGUUGUUUAACCAAAGAUAUCUUCCCUUUCAUUCUUCUUUUUUAAAGCUAAGGAUAUUUAAGACAUUAAUAUGUUUGGCUAACUGAUUAAUA